AGGAUAAACGCUGGCGGCGUGCAUGAGACAUGCAAGUCGAACGGACACUUGGGGCUUGCUCCAAGUGUUAGUGGCGGACGGCUGAGUAACGCGUAGGUGACCUGCCCCGAAGUGGGGAAUAACUGCCCGAAAGGGUGGCUAAUACCGCAUGUGGUGGUGUGUUCAUUCACACCAGUAAAGCCGCAAGGCGCUUCGGGAGGGGCCUGCGUCCGAUUAGCUCGUUGGUGGGGUAACGGCUCACCAAGGCGACGAUCGGUAGGUGGUCUGAGAGGACGAUCACCCAGACUGGGACUGAGACACGGCCCAGACUCCUACGGGAGGCAGCAGUCGGGAAUUUUGCGCAAUGGACGAAAGUCUGACGCAGCAACGCCGCGUGAGGGAUGAAGGCCUUCGGUUGUAAACCUCUUUAUCAGGGAAGAUAAUGACGGUACCUGAUGAAUAAGUCACGGCUAACUACGUGCCAGCAGCCGC
Molecule: ribosomal RNA, 471 nt
Filed under: uncultured bacterium
Lineage: Bacteria
Description: SSU rRNA
Rfam family: Bacterial small subunit ribosomal RNA
Source: RNAcentral